AGGAAUCUUGCGCAAUGGGGGACACCCUGACGCAGCAACGCCGCGUGAGUGAGGAAGGCCUUCGGGUCGUAAAGCUCUGUCAGAUGGGAAGAAAUGGGUGGGGCUAAUAUUGUCCAUCCUUGACGGUACCAUCAGAGGAAGCACCGGCUAACUCCGUGCCAGCAGCCGCGGUAAUACGGGGGGUGCAAGCGUUGUUCGGAAUCAUUGGGCGUAAAGCGCGCGUAGGCGGCUUGGUAAGUCAGAUGUGAAAUCCCUGGGCUUAACCCAGGAAGUGCAUUUGAUACUGCCUCGCUAGAGUACGGGAGAGGAAAGUGGAAUUCCUGGUGUAGAGGUGAAAUUCGUAGAUAUCAGGAGGAACACCGGAGGCGAAGGCGACUUUCUGGCCCGAUACUGACGCUCAGGCGCGAAAGCGUGGGGAGCAAACAG
This 426-nucleotide ribosomal RNA is filed under the name uncultured bacterium. Its description in RNAcentral is "bacterial SSU rRNA". It matches the Rfam family "Bacterial small subunit ribosomal RNA", at positions 357 to 775 of the family's 1533-position model. The record is from RNAcentral.